RNAcentral lists this ribosomal RNA (440 nucleotides) under uncultured bacterium. RNAcentral describes it as "partial 16S ribosomal RNA". It matches the Rfam family "Bacterial small subunit ribosomal RNA", at positions 338 to 795 of the family's 1533-position model. The record is from RNAcentral.
CCUACGGGGGGCAGCAGUAGGGAAUAUUGCUCAAUGGGGGAAACCCUGAAGCAGCAACGCCGCGUGGAGGAUGACGGUUUUCGGAUUGUAAACUCCUUUUGUUAGAGCAGAUAAUGACGGUAUCUAACGAAUAAGCACCGGCUAACCGCGUGCCAGCAGCCGCGGUAAUACGGAGGGGGUAAGCGUUACUCGGAAUCACUGGGCGUAAAGAGCGAGUAGGCGGGAUAGGAAGUCAGAGGGGAAAACCUAUGGCUUAACCAUAGAACUGCAGUUGAAACUGUUGUUCUAGAGUAUGGGAGAGGUAGGUGGAAUUCUUGGUGUAGGGGUAAAAUCCGUAGAGAUCAAGAGGAAUACUCAUUGCGAAGGCGACCUGCUAGAACAUAACUGACGCUGAUGCGCGAAAGCGUGGGUAGCAAACAGGAUUAGAUACCCCAGUAGUC